Molecule: ribosomal RNA, 407 nt
Filed under: uncultured bacterium
Lineage: Bacteria
Description: partial 16S ribosomal RNA
Rfam family: Bacterial small subunit ribosomal RNA
Source: RNAcentral
AUUGAACGCUGGCGGCAGGCCUAACACAUGAAAGUCGAGCGGAGCGGCGGACGGGUGAGUAAUGCCUAGGAAUCUGCCUGGUAGUGGGGGAUAACGUCCGGAAACGGGCGCUAAUACCGCAUACUAUCAGAUGAGCCUAGGUCGGCUUAGCUAGUUGGUGGGGUAAAGGCCUACCAAGGCGACGAUCCGUAACUGGUCUGAGAGGAUUAUCAGUCACACUGGAACUGAGACCCGGUCCAUGCUCCUACGGGGUGGAGCCGUGGGGAAUAUUUGGCCAUGGGCGCAAGCCUUAUCCAGCCCUUCCGGGUGUCUGAAGGAGGUCUUCGGAUUGUAAAGCACUUUAAGUUGGGAGGCGUUACCAGCAGAAUAAGCACCGGCUAACUUCGUGCCAGCCGCCGCGGUAAUAC